CCUACGGGAGGCAGCAGUGAGGAAUAUUGGUCAAUGGGCUUACGCCUGAACCAGCCAAGUCGCGUGAGGGAAGACUGCCCUAUGGGUUGUAAACCUCUUUUGUCAGGGAGCAACGCCGGCUACGUGUAGCCGGACUGAGAGUACCUGAAGAAAAAGCAUCGGCUAACCCCGUGCAAGCAGCCGCGGUAAUACGGAGGAUGCGAGCGUUAUCCGGAUUUAUUGGGUUUAAGGGGUGCGUAGGCGGAAUGCCAAGUCAGCGGUAAAAUCGCGGGGCUCAACCUCGCUCCGCCGUUGAAACUGGCGUUCUUGAGUGGGCGAGAAGUAUGCGGAAGGCGUGGUGUAGCGGUGAAAUGCAGAGAUAUCACGCAGAACUCCGAUUGCGAAGGCAGCAUACCGGCGCCCAACUGACGCUGAAGCAAGAAAGCGUGGGUAUCGAACAGGAUUAGAUACCCCUGUAGUC
Molecule: ribosomal RNA, 460 nt
Filed under: uncultured bacterium
Lineage: Bacteria
Description: partial 16S ribosomal RNA
Rfam family: Bacterial small subunit ribosomal RNA
Source: RNAcentral